UGGGAAGUGAGAAGCGUCUCUCCCUGGCCUA
This 31-nucleotide non-coding RNA is filed under the name Homo sapiens (human). Lineage: Eukaryota; Metazoa; Chordata; Mammalia; Primates; Hominidae. The record is from RNAcentral.